AGAGUUUGAUCCUGGCUCAGGAUGAACGCUAGCGCAGGCCUAACACAUGCAAGUCGAACGGUAACAGGGAAAAGCUUGCUUUUCCGCUGACGAGUGGCGCACGGGUGCGUAACGCGUAUGCAAUCUGCCUUGUACUGGGGGAUAGCCUUUAGAAAUGAAGAUUAACACCCCAUAGUAUCUGAAUACUGCAUGGUAAUCAGAUUAAAGGUUACGGUACAAGAUGAGCAUGCGUCCUAUUAGCUAGAUGGUGUGGUAACGGCAUACCAUGGCAACGAUAGGUAGGGGCCCUGAGAGGGGGAUCCCCCACACUGGUACUGAGACACGGACCAGACUCCUACGGGAGGCAGCAGUGAGGAAUAUUGGACAAUGGGCGGAAGCCUGAUCCAGCCAUGCCGCGUGCAGGAAGACUGCCCUAUGGGUUGUAAACUGCUUUUGUACGGGAAGAAACACUCCUACGUGUAGGAGCUUGACGGUACCGUAAGAAUAAGCAUCGGCUAACUCCGUGCCAGCAGCCGCGGUAAUACGGAGGAUGCAAGCGUUAUCCGGAAUCAUUGGGUUUAAAGGGUCCGUAGGUGGGCCGGUCAGUCAGAGGUGAAAUCCUGCAGCUUAACUGUAGGACUGCCUUUGAUACUGCUGGUCUUGAGUCAUUAUGAAGUAGUUAGAAUAUGUAGUGUAGCGGUGAAAUGCAUAGAUAUUACAUAGAAUACCAAUUGCGAAGGCAGAUUACUAAUAAUGUACUGACACUGAUGGACGAAAGCGUGGGGAGCGAACGGGAUUAGAUACCCCGGUAGUCCACGCCGUAAACGAUGGAUACUAGCUGUUCGGCUUCGGCUGAGUGGCUAAGCGAAAGUGAUAAGUAUCCCACCUGGGGAGUACGUUCGCAAGAAUGAAACUCAAAGGAAUUGACGGGGGCCCGCACAAGCGGU
Molecule: ribosomal RNA, 926 nt
Filed under: uncultured bacterium
Lineage: Bacteria
Description: bacterial SSU rRNA
Rfam family: Bacterial small subunit ribosomal RNA
Source: RNAcentral